Molecule: microRNA precursor, 130 nt
Filed under: Ornithorhynchus anatinus (platypus)
Lineage: Eukaryota; Metazoa; Chordata; Mammalia; Monotremata; Ornithorhynchidae
Description: microRNA oan-mir-18 precursor
Gene: oan-mir-18
Rfam family: mir-17 microRNA precursor family (bases 19-101)
About the family: This family represents the microRNA (miRNA) precursor mir-17, family, which includes mir-20, mir-91, and mir-103. miRNAs are transcribed as ~70nt precursors (modelled here) and subsequently processed by the Dicer enzyme to give a ~22nt product. In this case the mature sequence comes from the 3' arm of the precursor. The extents of the hairpin precursors are not generally known and are estimated based on hairpin prediction.
Source: miRBase by way of RNAcentral
GCUAUCCAUUUCAGAAUGUCCCUUGUGUUAAGGUGCAUCUAGUGCAGUUAGUGAAGUAGCUUAGAAUCUACUGCCCUAAAUGCUCCUUCUGGCACAAGCUGCCUAAUAUACAACUUCGAAAUCCAUGCGU